Molecule: long non-coding RNA, 834 nt
Organism: Solanum stenotomum
Lineage: Eukaryota; Viridiplantae; Streptophyta; Magnoliopsida; Solanales; Solanaceae
Exons: 2
Source: RefSeq, a predicted model, not a curated record
GAUGAGAAUAAUUUCCAAUUAGAUUACAGUUAGUCCUUCAUGUACAAUCUUUGUUUAGUAUCAUUCUGAUACUUAAGAAAUUUUUCAGAGCGUGCUAUAUCUUUGCAGCAGUUUGUUGGAUCUACUAAGUCCUCUCAUCUACACCGCAAUGUGUAUUUUUUGCUUAAUUGCAAUAUAUAAGUGUUAAUUCUAUAUAUAAGUUUGGAAAUUUUCUCGUGAGCCUUUUAAAUUCCUGAUUAGCCUUCUAUUGCAGCUUAUUUCAGCUAUUGACCGCCAUAGACAGUCUACUGACCAUCCAAUCAAAUUCAUUUCUAGAAGACAACCUAAUAUUCUGAAAUUCAAAAUGAAGCCAGGACCCGAAGCUGGCAGCACGGAUGGGCGAACUAAGAAGAUCUGUUCCUUCCUCUUCCACCCAAUAUUACCCCUUGCACUUUCUGUUCAACAAACCUUGUUUCUGCAGGCAUCAGUUGUAAAUAUCCAUUUUCGUCGAUAAUGUAAAAACUUAUUUUAUAUGUUACCUAUUUGUUUAUAAAUUUCUCUAAUGACCUCUAGAUUGAAAUCAACCUAGAAAUCGCAAAUUAAUUAUAACAGAUCUGUAGAUGCUAGUUUUCUUCGACUCCUACAUUUUCUUUGCUACAAGCAUCAGACGAAUGCUUGAUAGGCCAAGAGGGUUAGUAUGGUCAUAAGGAUUUGUUCAUCUGUAAGUUGUUUGUUACAGCUUCUCUUCUAUUAUUGAUGUACAUUCAGAUAUUUAUUUGUGAGGUAGAAAACUGAUGAAGACCCCUUUUUGGUUGUCUAUGAAUAUUGUAGACUAUGGUACCCAAAAUUCUUUUA